RNAcentral lists this long non-coding RNA (522 nucleotides) under Gossypium barbadense (sea-island cotton). RNAcentral describes it as "long non-coding RNA (GBAR_LNC006158)". Lineage: Eukaryota; Viridiplantae; Streptophyta; Magnoliopsida; Malvales; Malvaceae. The record is from RNAcentral.
GACAAACAAAAUAGGAAUAGUGUUUUCACCAAAUUCAACCUUUUUUCACCAGCGGGCAGCGGCCAGCCUUUGCUGUUUUCAGUUUUCACACAAAUUUAUCGCCAUUGCCGCCUCCUAAUCCACGCCGGCACACCCUGAUGGCAAACCCAUUCAACCCCGACGGCUUUUCAUUUUCUUUUCCUCUUUCACUGUUACUCAACCAACUUUUUUCCCCUUUUUUUGUUCGCCUAGAUCUCUGCUACUGCUAAGUGCUACUGCUACCCAUUUCUCAUCUUCAGUUCCUAAUGGCAAAUCCUAAGUUUUUCUUUCGCUGAAACUUUUCUUUGUACUGCUUUUGCUGCUUGUUUUGUUGAGGUAUUCAGUAUUCACGAUCCAUGGGUAUGAGAAAUAGGAUUUUAUAUUUUCUAUUGCUGUUGAGUUUUGAAUCUUUGGACUUUGAUUCCUUCUUGCUGUUGUUUCAGUGUUUCUGUUGAUUUUUGUUAGAGGAGAUGAUUUUUUUUUAGUUUGCUGUUAACGGAAAAU